CCUACGGGAGGCAGCAGUGGGGAAUAUUGCACAAUUGGGGAAACCCUGAUGCAGCGACGCCGCGUGAAGGAAGAAGUAUUUCGGUAUGUAAACUUCUAGCAGCAGGGAAGAAAAUGACGGUACCUGACUAAGAAGCACCGGCUAACUACGUGCAAGCAGCCGCGGUAAUCCGUAGGGGGCAAGCGUUAUCCGGAUUUACUGGGUGUAAAGGGAGCGUAGGCGGUUUAGCAAGUCAGAAGUGAAAGACCGGGGUUCAACUCCGGGACUGCUUUGGAAACUGUUGAACUAGAUGGCAGGAGAGGUAAGUGGAAUUCCUAGUGUAGCGGUGAAAUGCGUAGAUAUUAGGAGGAACACCAGUGGCGAAGGCGGCUUACUGGACUGUAAAUGACGCUGAGGCUCGAAAGCGUGGGGAGCAAACAGGAUUAGAUACCCCAGUAGUC
RNAcentral lists this ribosomal RNA (440 nucleotides) under uncultured bacterium. Its description in RNAcentral is "partial 16S ribosomal RNA". It matches the Rfam family "Bacterial small subunit ribosomal RNA", at positions 338 to 795 of the family's 1533-position model. The record is from RNAcentral.